ACGGGUGAGUAACACGUGGGUAACCUGCCCAAGAGACUGGGAUAACACCUGGAAACAGAUGCUAAUACCGGAUAACAACACUAGACGCAUGUCUAGAGUUUAAAAGAUGGUUCUGCUAUCACUCUUGGAUGGACCUGCGGUGCAUUAGCUAGUUGGUAAGGUAACGGCUUACCAAGGCAAUGAUGCAUAGCCGAGUUGAGAGACUGAUCGGCCACAUUGGGACUGAGACACGGCCCAAACUCCUACGGGAGGCAGCAGUAGGGAAUCUUCCACAAUGGACGCAAGUCUGAUGGAGCAACGCCGCGUGAGUGAAGAAGGGUUUCGGCUCGUAAAGCUCUGUUGGUAGUGAAGAAAGAUAGAGGUAGUAACUGGCCUUUAUUUGACGGUAAUUACCUAGAAAGUCACGGCUAACUACGUGCCAGCAGCCGCGGUAAUACGUAGGUGGCAAGCGUUGUCCGGAUUUAUUGGGCGUAAAGCGAGUGCAGGCGGUUCAAUAAGUCUGAUGUGAAAGCCUUCGGCUCAACCGGAGAAUUGCAUCAGAAACUGUUGAACUUGAGUGCAGAAGAGGAGAGUGGAACUCCAUGUGUAGCGGUGGAAUGCGUAGAUAUAUGGAAAAACACCAGUGGCGAAGGCGGCUCUCUGGUCUGCAACUGACGCUGAGGCUCGAAAGCAUGGGUAGCGAACAGGAUUAGAUACCCUGGUAGUCCAUGCCGUAAACGAUGAGUGCUAAGUGUUGGGAGGUUUCCGCCUCUCAGUGCUGCAGCUAACG
RNAcentral lists this ribosomal RNA (769 nucleotides) under uncultured bacterium. RNAcentral describes it as "bacterial SSU rRNA". It matches the Rfam family "Bacterial small subunit ribosomal RNA", at positions 102 to 857 of the family's 1533-position model. The record is from RNAcentral.